Drosophila melanogaster (fruit fly) is the source of this 2557-nucleotide non-coding RNA. The record is from Ensembl. Lineage: Eukaryota; Metazoa; Arthropoda; Insecta; Diptera; Drosophilidae.
GACACAAAAAGCAGAGACGAACUGCGACAAAGAGAACGCCGGAACGGAACGUGAACGGGAAUUCAGAACGUUGCAAUCGUUCGAGGGCCUCUGGCUCGCUUUUUGGCAGGCCGCGCGGCCAGUCGUCAGUCAGUUGGCCAACAAACUGGUAGCGUCUGGUGUGGCGAGCCAACAAAAGGCUGGCAGAGCGGCCAACACCGGACCCGGCCCGAAACUGAAUCCGGGUCCGGGUCUGGGUCCGUGUCCGUGUCCGGGUUGGUUUCGCAGCAUCUACGGCAUCACGGCUGCCAAUUGAGCGGAGUUUGGGUCUCAAUUUGACGCGUAGCCAGCCAAGAAGAGUGGCCGGCCAACAACAAAAACAGGUGACGCAGGAUGUGGCCAACUGAGUAGGGAGAUGGCGGAAGAGCAGGAGGCGCAGGAGGAGGAGGAGGAGGAGGAGGAGGAGGAAACGCAGCACACUUUUUUGGCCACGGUCCGCGUUUGAUUAGCCAACUCAAACAUCAGGGCCAAGAUCAGGGCAAUUGACAGCUCUGCUCCCUCAGUUUCUGCUUCCGCUUGGCACACAGUCACAGAGACACACAUUGCCUUAUGGCCACUGGACGAUGGACCACAGUGGAGCCUGGGCAGUACGCAACACCUGACGCUGCCCGCCAGGAUACUCCCGUUCGUCUCGAUCAUACAGCAAAUAAGAAACAUUAAAUAAACAAUCAAAGAAACGGAGUAUUGCUCCGCAACUGCCAACAACAUUCAACGACAACCAGUUGCUCUGUGGUGCUAGAAAGUGAGUGUAAACAGUGUGUGCCUUUGUGAACUGAACUGACCAACGUGCCAAGAACGAAGGGACGAGGAGGUGGGCACUCUGGCUCGGACCCAAGCGAUUUGGCAGGAGCUGAUUGUUUCAUCUGGCCAGGCUUAAUGAAAUAACUCGUCCUGGCCGCGGCUCCAUGUCAAACGCAGCAGGGCAAUCGCCAGCGAAGCCCCAAAGGAUAAGCAUCGUCCAGAACAUCGGAAUCUCCAGCGAAGGAUGCACCAAAAACAUUAUCCACAGGACUAAGAUGCCAAAGGAAACUUUCAAGAUCCGUUUCCAAAACAAAACAUAAAAUAUAUUCAAUAAAAAUGAAGUGGAAAUGAAAUGAUACAUAAUAAAUACCCUAAUACAUAACAGAAACAAAAGCAAGUCACUAAACUUGACUGCAAAUAUAAUACGAUGACACUUAAUAGAAACAUUGUAAUAAAAUUGAAAAGAAGUAGACAAGAAUAACCACUCAUAAAACUAAAAUACCCAGCCUAUAACUAUUUUUCAAAUAGUUGGCAUAGUGCUUACUAUGAACCAUAAUCGCAUAUGAUAUAACCAAUAUUGAGCACUUAAUAUAGCCCAAUAUUAUAUAGACCCAAAUAUGAAAUAGUCACAAACAAUAGUGCAAUACAAUACGUUUAUAAAACAACGUCAAAAGUUUUAUAACGAAAAUAUAUUUCUUUAUAAUGAGCACUUUCGAACAACUACAUUUAAUAUAAAAUAGCGCGGGAAGUCUUCGGCGUGGUGAAAGUAUAAGGUGUAAGCACAGCUGAGAAGAAAGGAAUUUACAAAAUCGAAGGAAGAAGUGAAAGAAGGAGUGAAAAAACAUCUAAGCGCGGAAAAGUGCUACAAAAUGAUUUUCACUUACAUAAACCACAUCAAAGCCAUCACUCAAUUGCCACUUUCAGUCAUUUCGACCAUGUCCAAGAAUGAAUAAUGGAUGGGGAAAAUAAAGAGAAGCUGACAUCCUAAAGGAAACCUUGUUGGCCAAUUGGGGAGGAGGCCCAGAAGGUCGGGCCGAUUUUCCGCUGCAACCGACGAAGGUCUGACCAACCAAUCGCAACGCACAGCGGCGACGAAGCCCGGCCGAAUGGGAGCAUCUCGGGCAAACGGAGGGACAGUCAGCCGCCCUGCAAUGCAUUUCUUUUGGCAACGAGUCAAGCGGCCUUUCACACACACACACACACACAUUAGGAUUCCAUAAGGAUACUCUGCCUCGCUCACAUGCGCAUCGAGUGGUAUACGUAAUAUAUCAAGUAUACGCCUGUUGGCCGGGCAGAAAGUCUGUGAGUGUGUGCGAAUGGCCAAACAGAGUGUUGCCAACUGCAUUGCCGGGCUGCCAACGACUCAACCCCCGACCCGAGGACACCACCCUCCUCCCGGCCAGGAGGCCAACGACGAGUCCUUUUUGGAGGCAGCGCAUUGGCUGCAGGACGACCGGCGACAGGACGACCAAUCACCAAUCAAAUCGCGGCUUGUGCGCACUAUCACGGCCGUACGAAGGGCCAAAGGCACGGCAUCCAGGACCUCAGCCGGAGACCCCAAGCCGAUUGUCAAUCUCUUAGACAUAUUAUUAUGCCAACGUCUCCUAUAUUAUAGUUCUCUAGUCGUAAGUCACAUGCCCAAGCCAUCGCCCCAGAACAUCGGGGACAUGAAACAUUAGUUUUAUUGAUAGAGUUCUUAGUUUCGAGCAGAAGCUAUACGAUGAUGAUUUCAAGAAUGAGAAAACGGAAUAAAAACUGUAAAGCUUCAGAGCGGAAC